GGGGGUUUUGAAAAGUGUUUUUGUAGUGAAUGCGGAAAAUUUAAAAUUCACGCUAGAACUGGACAGCUCUGACCUUUGCUCAAUGUUUUACCCAUAACUUUUUCUACAGAAUUCUAAAUGAGAUGAGGUUUUUUUUCCUGGAAAGUAGACUCAAUUAUCUUUCAUGUGAUAUAUAAAACNUAGCAUUUGGACCUCUGGU
This 199-nucleotide long non-coding RNA is filed under the name Vigna radiata. RNAcentral's name for it is "long non-coding RNA (VRAD_LNC002132)". Lineage: Eukaryota; Viridiplantae; Streptophyta; Magnoliopsida; Fabales; Fabaceae. The record is from RNAcentral.